CAGCUGAUGCAGCGACGCCGCGUGAGGGAUGGAGGCCUUCGGGUUGUAAACCUCUUUUAUCGGGGAGCAAGCGAGAGUGAGUUUACCCGUUGAAUAAGCACCGGCUAACUACGUGCCAGCAGCCGCGGUAAUACGUAGGGUGCAAGCGUUAUCCGGAAUUAUUGGGCGUAAAGGGCUCGUAGGCGGUUCGUCGCGUCCGGUGUGAAAGUCCAUCGCUUAACGGUGGAUCCGCGCCGGGUACGGGCGGGCUUGAGUGCGGUAGGGGAGACUGGAAUUCCCGGUGUAACGGUGGAAUGUGUAGAUAUCGGGAAGAACACCAAUGGCGAAGGCAGGUCUCUGGGCCGUUACUGACGCUGAGGAGCGAAAGCGUGGGGAGCGAACAGGAUUAGAUACC
RNAcentral lists this ribosomal RNA (394 nucleotides) under Bifidobacterium longum. RNAcentral's name for it is "bacterial SSU rRNA". It matches the Rfam family "Bacterial small subunit ribosomal RNA", at positions 380 to 786 of the family's 1533-position model. Lineage: Bacteria; Bacillati; Actinomycetota; Actinomycetes; Bifidobacteriales; Bifidobacteriaceae. The record is from RNAcentral.